CCUACGGGUGACUGCAGUGAGGAAUAUUGGUCAAUGGGCGCAAGCCUGAACCAGCCAAGUCGCGUGAGGGAUGACGGUCCUAUGGAUUGUAAACCUCUUUUGUCGGGGAGCAAGGCCCGCCACGUGUGGCGGGAAGGAGAGUACCCGAAGAAAAAGCAUCGGCUAACUCCGUGCCAGCAGCCGCGGUAAUACGUAGGAGGCGAGCGUUAUCCGGAAUGACUGGGCGUAAAGGGUGCGUAGGUGGUUUGGCAAGUUAGUAGCGUAACUCCAAGGCUCAACCUUGGAACUACUACUAAAACUGUUGGACUUGAGUGCAGGAGGGGCAACCGGAAUUCCUAGUGUAGCGGUGGAAUGCGUAGAUAUUAGGAGGAACACCAGUGGCGAAGGCGGGUUGCUAGACUGUAACUGACACUGAGGCACGAAAGCGUGGGGAGCAAACAGGAUGAGAUACCCUUGUAGUC
Molecule: ribosomal RNA, 461 nt
Filed under: uncultured bacterium
Lineage: Bacteria
Description: partial 16S ribosomal RNA
Rfam family: Bacterial small subunit ribosomal RNA
Source: RNAcentral